CCUACGGGUGGCAGCAGUGAGGAAUAUUGGUCAAUGGGCGGGAGCCUGAACCAGCCAAGUCGCGUGCAGGAAGAAGGCGCUAGGCGUCGUAAACUUCUUUUGUCCGGGAAUAAAGGGCGCCACGCGUGGUGUUGUGAGUGUACCCGAAGAAAAAGCAUCGGCUAAUUCCGUGCCAGCAGCCGCGGUAAUACGGAGGAUUCGGGCGUUAUCCGGAUUUACUGGGUUUAAAGGGAGCGUAGAUGGGUUGUAAAGUCCGUUGUGAAAGUUUGGGGCUUAACCCCAAAAUUGCAAUGGAUACUGGCAGGCUUGAGUGCAGUUGGGGUAGGCGGAAUUCGUAGUGUAGCGGUGAAAUGCUUAGAUAUCAGGAAGAACUCCGGUUGCGAAGGCAGCUUACUAAACUGCAACUGACAUUGAGGCUCGAAAGUGUGGGUAGCAAACAGGAUUAGAUACCCUUGUAGUC
Molecule: ribosomal RNA, 460 nt
Filed under: uncultured bacterium
Lineage: Bacteria
Description: partial 16S ribosomal RNA
Rfam family: Bacterial small subunit ribosomal RNA
Source: RNAcentral